RNAcentral lists this ribosomal RNA (524 nucleotides) under Limosilactobacillus reuteri. Its description in RNAcentral is "bacterial LSU rRNA". It matches the Rfam family "Bacterial large subunit ribosomal RNA", at positions 1 to 516 of the family's 2925-position model. The record is from RNAcentral. Lineage: Bacteria; Bacillati; Bacillota; Bacilli; Lactobacillales; Lactobacillaceae.
UUAGGUUAAGUUAUGAAGGGCGCAUGGUGAAUGCCUUGGUACUAGGAGCCGAUGAAGGACGGGACUAACACCGAUAUGCUUCGGGGAGCGGUAAGUACGCUUUGAUCCGGAGAUUUCCGAAUGGGGCAACCCAAUCAGCUUAGUCGCUGAUUACUUGACUAGUGAAUACAUAGCUAGCAAGAGGUAGACGCAGUGAACUGAAACAUCUUAGUAGCUGCAGGAAGAGAAAGAAACAUCGAUUCCCUGAGUAGCGGCGAGCGAAAAGGGAAGAGCCCAAACCAACGAGCUUGCUUGUUGGGGUUGUAGGACUGAACAUUAGAGUUACCAAAGUGCGACGUAGUCGCAACAGUUGGGAAGCUGUGCCAUAGAGGGUGAAAGCCCCGUAGACGAAACGUCGCACUCUCUGUUCAGGAUCCUGAGUACGGCGGGACACGUGAAACCCCGUCGGAACCCGCGAGGACCAUCUCGCAAGGCUAAAUACUCCCUAGUGACCGAUAGUGAACCAGUACCGUGAGGGAAAGGUG